CCUACGGGAGGCAGCAGUGAGGAAUAUUGGUCAAUGGACGAGAGUCUGAACCAGCCAAGUAGCGUGAAGGAUGACUGCCCUAUGGGUUGUAAACUUCUUUUAUAAGGGAAUAAAACGAGGUACGUAUGCCUUUUUGCAUGUACUUUAUGAAUAAGGAUCGGCUAACUCCGUGCCAGCAGCCGCGGUAAUACGGAGGAUCCGAGCGUUAUCCGGAUUUAUUGGGUUUAAAGGGAGCGUAGGUGGGUGGUUAAGUCAGUUGUGAAAGUUUGCGGCUCAACCGUAAAAUUGCAGUUGAUACUGGGAGUCUUGAGUGCAGCUGAGGUAGGCGGAAUUCGUGGUGUAGCGGUGAAAUGCUUAGAUAUCACGAAGAACCCCGAUUGCGAAGGCAGCUUACUAAACUGUAACUGACGCUGAUGCUCGAAAGUGUGGGUAUCAAACAGGAUUAGAUACCCCAGUAGUC
Molecule: ribosomal RNA, 460 nt
Filed under: uncultured bacterium
Lineage: Bacteria
Description: partial 16S ribosomal RNA
Rfam family: Bacterial small subunit ribosomal RNA
Source: RNAcentral